UAAUGGUCGCGCCGCUGAGUUUAUAAGGAAGAGGGUUUAUAAGGAUAAGAGUAGGUGCUACGAGUGCGGCGCAAUUGAUGGGCAUUUGUCUUAUGAAUGCCCUAAAAAUCAAUUGGGCCAAGGGAGCGACCAGAACCGAAGCGGGUAAGAAGGGGUGGAGUUGGUGCUAGGCACGAGGAGGAUUGGGGAUCGGAUGUUGGAGAAGGGUUUGAGGAUGACAAUUGGGCCUCGGUGGUGGACGGAGAUGCAGACCAGAGACUCCUGACUGGCGGUGAGAACAUUGUAGAGAAGAAAAAAGAGAAGAAAGCAAGUUAUUUCAGUGACGAGAGCGACGAAGAUGAUUAACUGAGCCUGUCUCUUUGGGAAGAGUUUGUAAAAGGCUACAUUAAGAUAUAUCAAGGUUGGAGACCAAAGUUGAGAGGCUAAAGUCGGUAGUACAAGUUAAAGAUAGGGAGAUUGCAACAGUUACACGAAUAGAAGCCAAAGGUAAGGCUGCUUUUAAAGCUCAAAUUGACAAGCUACAGUAGGAAAAUGUUGAACUCCAGAGAAGGGUUAUUGGCAAUCAGCAAGUAAGAACUCAACAAAUACAUGAGAUGAAGAAGAAAGAAAAGGAGUACAUCAAAUUGCAGGCUACAUUAAGAUAUAUCAAGGUUGGAGACCAAAGUUGAGAGGCUAAAGUCGGUAGUACAAGUUAAAGAUAUGGAGAUUGCAACAGUUACACGAAUAGAAGCCAAAGGUAAGGCUGCUUUUAAAGCUCAAAUUGACAAGCUACAGUAGGAAAAUGUUGAACUCCAGAGAAGGGUUAUUGGCAAUCAGCAAGUAGGAACUCAACAAAUACAUGAGGUGAAGAAGAAAGAAAAGGAGUACAUCAAAUUGUGUGUGAGAUACCUUUUAGUUAUUUUUCGGUUCUAGGCUCAAGUUGGAUUCAGAAAGAAGGGUGACGACGUGGAACUUGGAAUGGCAAGAAAACUGAUAACGAUUUCUAUAAAAGGAUAGUGGAUGCUUAUGAAGUUAAAAUUCAAGAAUUGACGUCAGAGAAUGCUGAUUUAAAGACAUUGACCAGUAAAUGCAGGUUUGCAACAAUUUUGUUAUUGUCUGUGUUUUAAGUUUACUAAAUUUUUAUCAAAUAAAUUUUGGAAGGGGUGGUGAGCAUGCAAUAAAACAAGUUUGUAGAAUGCAUCUAUUCCGUCUUAUUAAUUUUGUGAUAUUGAGGUUUUUUGCCAUUCUUUUAUUGAAUUAUUUUUGUGAAUUUUAAUUCUUGAAGUUCAUUGUUUUAUUGGUUUAUUUGAUAGACAAAAAAACCCCCUAAAUUUGUAUCAGAUAUGGUUUUAGUAA
Long non-coding RNA from Cucumis sativus (cucumber), 1335 nucleotides. RefSeq lists it as uncharacterized. The record is from RefSeq and is a predicted model, not a curated record. The transcript is spliced from 9 exons. NCBI's taxonomy places the organism in Eukaryota, Viridiplantae, Streptophyta, Magnoliopsida, Cucurbitales, Cucurbitaceae.